Molecule: non-coding RNA, 828 nt
Organism: Chrysemys picta bellii (western painted turtle)
Lineage: Eukaryota; Metazoa; Chordata; Testudines; Emydidae
Source: RefSeq, a predicted model, not a curated record
GAUCCCAUGUAGAACUGCAGUGGUUAUUGCAAAAUAGAAAUGGACCUGGGCUGCAGUAAUUAGACCUGAUACAUAUGCACAGGGGGUUUGGAUGAAGUGAGGAGACCAUCAGUGAAAUCACCCUAUACUGUGCUAUGGUUCAGGAUGUCCAGCCCUAUGAAUGGAUUAAGGUGUAGUGGAACAUGAAGGCAAUUCCAAGUGUUGUUGAGGAACUGAAGAACAGUUCUUGCUAAGAGUCAUCCACAAGUAACAAGCCUGGGAUGUAUUUGAGCAAACAGAUGGCUUUGUAUGGCAUAAUAACCAGCAUUCAGCAUGAGCAAAACAAGCAGCUGUUUGGGGCCCUGCCCCUGGAUGCUCCACAUCCCAUGCAAGCUCUGAAAUUCACAAGUUGACCCUUGUGGGACUGCAGGGGGAAGAAACAAUCAGAUGCCUGAUCCCAUCCAGCAAAAGGAGUAGAAAGAGGAAGCAACCUAGGACUUGAUUUCUCCCCUUCUGGGAGCCUGGGGCAUCACUUUUGCUUGGGUAUCAGCCUUUCCAUUUGUGAAUCAGUUUGUUAAUUUAAAUUGUUUUUGCUGUUGCUGAGGUAAGAAAAAAAUUGCCAAACUACAUAACAUUCAAAACACCCUAUAAACAGUGCAGAAACCUUAAAAUCCCAUCUGCUGUGCAGGUGCAUUCCAUUGAAUAACAUUGAGAGCUGGUCAAUACACCUCCACAAACAAGCAGGAGAAGCAGGAUGUUAUGGCCCAAGACUGUAAAGAGUUACUCCUGGGGGAAUUCUGCGCUACUGCAUGCAUGCAUAAUUAAUGAGUUGUGCAUAUUUAUUUUUUU